This 2882-nucleotide ribosomal RNA is filed under the name Pasteurella multocida. RNAcentral describes it as "23S ribosomal RNA". It matches the Rfam family "Bacterial large subunit ribosomal RNA". Lineage: Bacteria; Pseudomonadati; Pseudomonadota; Gammaproteobacteria; Pasteurellales; Pasteurellaceae. The record is from RNAcentral.
GUUGUAUGGUUAAGUGACUAAGCGUACAGGGCGGAUGCCUUGGCAAUCAGAGGCGAUGAAGGACGUGCUAAUCUGCGAAAAGCUUGGAUGAGUCGAUAAGAGGCGUUUAAUCCAAGAUGUCCGAAUGGGGAAACCCGAUGGAUGAAGAAUCCAUCAUUUCAUGGUGAAUACAUAGCGAUGAAAGGCGAACCGGGAGAACUGAAACAUCUAAGUACCCCGAGGAAAAGAAAUCAACCGAGAUUCUGUGAGUAGCGGCGAGCGAAAGCGGAAGAGCCAGUAAGUUUUAGCUAGCAUAUUAGAGGAAUUGGCUGGGAAGCCAAAUCAAAGAGGGUGAUAAUCCCGUACUCGAAAGUAUGUUAGUGGAACUAAGCUUACGAUAAGUAAGGCGGGACACGAGAAAUCCUGUUUGAAGAUGGGGGGACCAUCCUCCAAGGCUAAAUACUCCUGAUUGACCGAUAGUGAACCAGUACUGUGAAGAAAGGCGAAAAGAACCCCGGUGAGGGAGUGAAAUAGACCUGAAACCCAUGUACGUACAAGCAGUAGGAGCGAUGGCAACUUGUGACUGCGUACUUUGUAUAAUGGUCAGCGACUUAUUUUGUAGCGAGGUUAACUGAAUAAGGGAGCGAAGGGAAACCGAGUCUUAACUGGGCGUUGAGUUGCAAGGUAUAGACCCGAACACGUGAUCUAGCCAUUGGCAGUUGAGGUUGGUAACACUAACUGAGGACCGAACCGACUAAUGUUGAAAAAUUAGCGAUGACUUGUGGCGGGGGUGAAAGGGCAAUCAAGACCGGGAGAUAGCUGUUCUCCCGAAAUUAUUUAGGUAGAGCCUUGAGCGGACACCUUCCGGGGUAGAGCACUGUUUCGGCUAGGGGUCCAUCCCGAGUACCAACCCGAUGCAACUGCGAAUACCGAAGAGUGAUACCAGGAGACACCGGCGGGUGCUAAGCGUUGUCGUGGAGAGGGGAAACAACCCAGACCGCCAGCUAGGUCCCGAAGUCUAUAUAAGUGGGAAACGAAGUGGGAAGCUUAGACAGCUAGGAUGUUGGCUUAGAAGCAGCCAUCAUUUAAAGAAAGCGUAGAUAGCUCAGCUAGUCGAGUCGGCCUGCGCGGAAGAUGUACGGGGCUCAAUAUAGCACCGAAGCUUGCGGCAUCAGAAUUUAUUCUGUUGGGUAGGGAGCGUUGUGUAAGCGGAUGAAGGUGGCUCGAGAGGGUUGCUGACGUAUCACAAGUGCGAAUGCUGACAUAAGUACGAUAAAACGAGUGAAAAACUCGUUCGCCGGAAGACCAAGGGUUCCUGUCCAACGUUAAUCGGGCAGGGUGAGUCGGCCCCUAAGGCGAGGCUGAAAAGCGUAGUCGAUGGGAAACGGGUUAAUAUUCCCGUACUUGGAUAAACUGCGAUGUGGGGACGGAGAAGGUUAGGUUAGCAGACUGUUGGAUGUCUGUUUAAGGUGGUAGGUGGAAGACUUAGGCAAAUCCGGGUCUUUAUAAACACUGAGAGCUGAUGACGAGGUCUUAAGGGACUGAAGUAACUGAUACCCUGCUUCCAGGAAAAGCCACUAAGCUUCAGGUUUAUCUAAACCGUACUGAAAACCGACACAGGUGGUCAGGUAGAGAAUACUCAGGCGCUUGAGAGAACUCGGGUGAAGGAACUAGGCAAAAUAGCACCGUAACUUCGGGAGAAGGUGCGCUUACAGUAAUUGUAGUCCCUCGCGGAUGAAGGUGAAGUAAGUCGAAGAUACCAGCUGGCUGCAACUGUUUAUUAAAAACACAGCACUCUGCAAACACGAAAGUGGACGUAUAGGGUGUGAUGCCUGCCCGGUGCUGGAAGGUUAAUUGAUGGUGUUAUCGAAAGAGAAGCUCCUGAUCGAAGCCCCAGUAAACGGCGGCCGUAACUAUAACGGUCCUAAGGUAGCGAAAUUCCUUGUCGGGUAAGUUCCGACCUGCACGAAUGGCAUAAUGAUGGCCAGGCUGUCUCCACCCGAGACUCAGUGAAAUUGAAAUCGCCGUGAAGAUGCGGUGUACCCGCGGCUAGACGGAAAGACCCCGUGAACCUUUACUAUAGCUUGACACUGAACAUUGAAUUUUGAUGUGUAGGAUAGGUGGGAGCCUUUGAAGCAGUGACGCCAGUCAUUGUGGAGGCGACCUUGAAAUACCACCCUUUAACGUUUGAUGUUCUAACGAAGUGCCUGAAACGGGUACUCGGACAGUGUCUGGUGGGUAGUUUGACUGGGGCGGUCUCCUCCCAAAGCGUAACGGAGGAGCACGAAGGUUUGCUAAUGACGGUCGGACAUCGUCAGGUUAGUGCAAUGGUAUAAGCAGCUUAACUGCGAGACAGACAAGUCGAGCAGGUGCGAAAGCAGGUCAUAGUGAUCCGGUGGUUCUGAAUGGAAGGGCCAUCGCUCAACGAUAAAAGGUACUCCGGGGAUAACAGGCUGAUACCGCCCAAGAGUUCAUAUCGACGGCGGUGUUUGGCACCUCGAUGUCGGCUCAUCACAUCCUGGGGCUGAAGUAGGUCCCAAGGGUAUGGCUGUUCGCCAUUUAAAGUGGUACGCGAGCUGGGUUUAGAACGUCGUGAGACAGUUCGGUCCCUAUCUGCCGUGGGCGUUGGAUGAUUGAUUGGGGCUGCUCCUAGUACGAGAGGACCGGAGUGGACGCAUCACUGGUGUUCCAGUUGUCUCGCCAGAGGCAUUGCUGGGUAGCUAAUGCGGAGAGAUAAGUGCUGAAAGCAUCUAAGCACGAAACUUGCCAAGAGAUGAGUCAUCCCUGACUUUAAGUCAGUAAGGGUUGUUGUAGACUACGACGUAGAUAGGUUGGGUGUGUAAGUGUAGUGAUACAUUGAGCUAACCAAUACUAAUUGCCCGAGAGGCUUAACCAUACACGCU